Molecule: ribosomal RNA, 497 nt
Filed under: uncultured bacterium
Lineage: Bacteria
Description: partial 16S ribosomal RNA
Rfam family: Bacterial small subunit ribosomal RNA
Source: RNAcentral
GAUGAACGCUGGCGGCGUGCCUAAUACAUGCAAGUCGAGCGAACGGACGAGAAGCUUGCUUCUCUGAUGUUAGCGGCAGACGGGUGAGUAACACGUGGAUAACCUACCUAUAAGACUGGGAUAAAUUCGGGAAACCGGAGCUAAUACCGGAUAAUAUUUUGAACCGCAUGGUUCAAAAGUGAAAGACGGUCUUGCUGUCACUUAUAGAUGGAUCCGCGCUGCAUUAGCUAGUUGGUAAGGUAACGGCUUACCAAGGCAACGAUGCAUAGCCGACCUGAGAGGGUGAUCGGCCACACUGGAACUGAGACACGGUCCAGACUCCUACGGGAGGCAGCAGUAGGGAAUCUUCCGCAAUGGGCGAAAGCCUGACGGAGCAACGCCGCGUGAGUGAUGAAGGUCUUCGGAUCGUAAAACUCUGUUAUUAGGGAAGAACAUAUGUGUAAGUAACUGUGCACAUCUUGACGGUACCUAAUCAGAAAGCCACGGCUAACUACGUG